GGGUUGUGGCUCAGAGAUAGAGCGCUUGCCUAGCAUGUGAGGGGUCCUGGGUUCAAUCCUCAGCCCCA
RNAcentral lists this transfer RNA (68 nucleotides) under Marmota monax (woodchuck). RNAcentral describes it as "tRNA.Ala". The record is from RNAcentral. Lineage: Eukaryota; Metazoa; Chordata; Mammalia; Rodentia; Sciuridae.